ACAGACAGUAUAACAAACUGCGAAACCUGCUGAAGGAUGCGCGUCAUGAUUGCAUUCUCUUUGCCAAUGAAUUCCAGCAAUGCUGCUAUCUGCCACGGGAAAGAGGAGAGUCCAUGGAGAAGUGGCAGACCAGGAGCAUAUACAAUGCAGCUGUUUGGUACUAUCAUCACUGCCAGGACAGGAUGCCGAUUGUUAUGGUGACGGAAGAUGAAGAGGCAAUUCAGCAGUAUGGAAGUGAAACAGAAGGAGUAUUCGUGAUUUCUUUCAAGAAUUACCUGGACAGUUUCUGGCCUGAUUUAAAAGCUGCCCACGAGCUUUGUGAUUCUAUCCUUCAGUCUCGACGGGAGAGAGAGAAUGAGAGUCAGGAGAGCCAUGGAAAGGAGUAUCCAGAACAUCUUCCCCUGGAAGUGUUAGAAGCUGGGAUUAAAUCUGGACGGUAUAUCCAGG
RNAcentral lists this small RNA (447 nucleotides) under Pongo abelii (Sumatran orangutan). Its description in RNAcentral is "retained intron". The record is from RNAcentral. Lineage: Eukaryota; Metazoa; Chordata; Mammalia; Primates; Hominidae.